CAGCCGCCGCGGUAAUACGUAGGGUGCAAGCGUUAUCCGGAAUUAUUGGGCGUAAAGAGCUCGUAGGCGGUUUGUCGCGUCUGCUGUGAAAACUGGAGGCUCAACCUCCAGCCUGCAGUGGGUAAGGGCAGACUAGAGUGCGGUAGGGGAGAUUGGAAUUCCUGGCGUAGCGGUGGAAUGCGCAGAUAUCAGGAGGAACACCGAUGGCGAAGGCAGAUCUCUGGGCCGUAACUGACGCUGAGGAGCGAAAGCGUGGGGAGCGAACAGGAUUAGAGACCCCGGUAGUCCCUGUCUCUUAUAC
This 301-nucleotide ribosomal RNA is filed under the name uncultured bacterium. Its description in RNAcentral is "partial 16S ribosomal RNA". It matches the Rfam family "Bacterial small subunit ribosomal RNA", at positions 509 to 807 of the family's 1533-position model. The record is from RNAcentral.